Molecule: ribosomal RNA, 502 nt
Filed under: uncultured Glomus
Lineage: Eukaryota; Fungi; Glomeromycota; Glomeromycetes; Glomerales; Glomeraceae
Description: SSU rRNA
Rfam family: Eukaryotic small subunit ribosomal RNA
Source: RNAcentral
AGCAGCCGCGGUAAUUCCAGCUCCAAUAGCGUAUAUUAAAGUUGUUGCAGUUAAAAAGCUCGUAGUUGAAUUUCGGGGUCAGCAAGUUGGUCGUGCCACUGGUAUGCACUGGCUUUGCUGAUUCCUCCUUCUUGAAGAACUGUAAUGCUAUUAAUUUAGUGUUACAGGGAAACAGGACUGUUACUUUGAAAAAUUAGAGUGUUUAAAGCAGGCUAACGCUUGAAUACAUUAGCAUGGAAUAAUGAAAUAGGACGUUCGAUCUUAUUUUGUUGGUUUCUAAGAUUGACGUAAUGAUUAAUAGGGAUAGUUGGGGGCAUUAGUAUUCAAUUGUCAGAGGUGAAAUUCUUGGAUUUAUUGAAGACUAACUACUGCGAAAGCAUUUACCAAGGAUGUUUUCAUUAAUCAAGAACGAAAGUUAGGGGAUCGAAGACGAUCAGAUACCGUCGUAGUCUUAACCAUGAACUAUGCCGACUAGGGAUCGGAUGAUGUUAAUUUUUAAUGA